Transfer RNA from Vittaforma corneae ATCC 50505, 72 nucleotides. It matches the Rfam family "tRNA". From Rfam's summary of the family: Transfer RNA (tRNA) molecules are approximately 80 nucleotides in length. Their secondary structure includes four short double-helical elements and three loops (D, anti-codon, and T loops). NCBI's taxonomy places the organism in Eukaryota, Fungi, Microsporidia, Nosematidae. The record is from Rfam.
GGUUCUAUAGUGUAAUGGCUAGCACAUCGGUCUCUGAAUCCGGUAAUCUGAGUUCGAAUCUCGGUAGAACCA